RNAcentral lists this ribosomal RNA (453 nucleotides) under uncultured bacterium. RNAcentral describes it as "bacterial SSU rRNA". It matches the Rfam family "Bacterial small subunit ribosomal RNA", at positions 335 to 800 of the family's 1533-position model. The record is from RNAcentral.
ACUCCUACGGGAGGCAGCAGUGAGGAAUAUUGGACAAUGGGGCAGCCCAUCGAUCCAGCCAUGCCGCGCUGAUUGAAUGAAGGCCAGCUUAGGGUUGUAAAGAUCUUUCAAUAGUGAAGAUAAUGACGGUAACUAUAGAAGAAGCCCGCGUACAUCCGUGCCAGCAGCCGCGGUAAUACGGAGGGGCGUAGCGUUGUUCGGAAUUACUGGGCGUAAAGCGCGCGUAGGCGGGCUAUUAAGUCAGGGGUGAAAUCCCGGAGCUCAACUCCGGAACUGCCUUUGAUACUGGUAGCCUAGAGGUCGAGAGAGGUGAGUGGAAUUCCAAGUGUAGAGGUGAAAUUCGUAGAUAUUUGGAGGAACACCAGUGGCGAAGGCGGCUCACUGGCUCGAUACUGACGCUGAGGUGCGAAAGUGUGGGUAGCAAACAGGAUUAGAUACCCUGGUAGGCUCUGC